GUGGAUUAGAUACCCUAGUAGUCCACGCCCUAAACGAUGUCUACUAGUUGUUGGUGGAGUAAAAUCCAUUAGUAACGCAGCUAACGCGUGAAGUAGACCGCCUGGGGAGUACGGUCGCAAGAUUAAAACUCAAAGGAAUUGACGGGGGCCCGCACAAGCGGUGGAUUAUGUGGAUUAAUUCGAUGCAACGCGAAAAACCUUACCUGGCCUUGACAUGCUACUAACGAAGCAGAGAUGCAUUAGGUGCCCGAAAGGGAAAGUAGACACAGGUGCUGCACGGUCGUCGUCAACU
This 292-nucleotide ribosomal RNA is filed under the name uncultured bacterium. RNAcentral describes it as "partial 16S ribosomal RNA". It matches the Rfam family "Bacterial small subunit ribosomal RNA", at positions 773 to 1060 of the family's 1533-position model. The record is from RNAcentral.